Molecule: long non-coding RNA, 400 nt
Organism: Acanthopagrus latus (yellowfin seabream)
Lineage: Eukaryota; Metazoa; Chordata; Actinopteri; Spariformes; Sparidae
Exons: 4
Source: RefSeq, a predicted model, not a curated record
CUACAAACCAGGCAAAGAUGAGGAAGCGAAGGCCCUCUCCUUCGACCAAGUCGUGACCGUUGACGACAUUCAGAGUUUACACACCGAGCUCCUACAGCCUCUCAAUGACUCCACAUCCAUCGCUUAUAACAGAACUCUGCUGAUAUGCGGAGCCUCCACAGAGAAGAUUAGCACCUUGAUUGAUCGUGUUAUCAUCAAACAGGUCUUGACAAAUCUGUUUAGUCGUGUGUUGUCACAAGAGAAAGGGGAGUCGUUCAUCUCUGUGUCUGCCCUUCAGGUUUGUCCUUCUCUUUAAUAGCAUAGCCACGAAUCAGAGUAGACGCAGCGUGGUGCAGGAUAACUUCUGAUUUUUUGUCAAUGUCAGUUUUAUCCCGACGGCAGUGCUUUGGAUCUCCUGAGC